AUGGACGCGGAGCUCCUGGAGCUGCAGCGGCAGCUGGAGGCGGCGCAGAGCGCGCGGUCGAGCGUGCGGCUGUCGGAGCGCAACGUGGUGGAGCUCGUGCAGAAGCUGCAGGAGCGCGGCCUCAUCGACUUCGAGCUCCUCCACACCGUCUCCGGCAAGGAGUACAUCACAUCCGACCAUUUGAAGCAUGAGAUUAAGGUGGAGAUCAAGAAGCGAGGGCGCGCAUCACUAGUCGAUUUAUCAGAUACCCUGGGGGUGGAUCUUUACCAUAUUGAGAGGCAGGCACAAAAGGUCGUCACGGAGGAUCCGGCCCUGAUGUUGAUCAACGGGGAGAUCAUGUCACAGUCUUACUGGGACACUGUGACGGAAGAGAUAAAUGAGAAGUUGCAAGAGCGCAGCCAGAUUGCCUUGGCUGAGAUUGCUGCACAGUUACACAUUGGCUCAGAGCUAGUCCUCAAUAUUCUCGAGCCUCGGCUUGGAACUAUUGUGCAAGGAAGGCUAGAAGGUGGCCAGCUAUACACUCCAGCAUACGUCUCACGAAUUACUGCCAUGGUCCGUGGUGCGACAAGAGGUUUAACAGUUCCGACAAACUUGCCAUCUGUCUGGAACUCCUUGCAGCAACAGCUCCAAGAAAUGCACGGUGCUAAUGGAGUUUCAGUGGAAGGUUCAUUCUUCCAGUCCAUUUUUGUUGCCUUGCUAAAAGAAGGUGCUGUACUUGGGUCUGUCCGUGCCGGAGUACAUUGGACACCAGCUGUAUUUGCUCAUGCUCAAAAGGAAAGCGUUGAUGCAUUUUUUUCACAGAACUCUUAUAUUGGGUACGAAGUGCUUCAGAAACUCGCAAUUCCCCAGCCUAAACAGUACUUAGAGGCCAGAUAUCCAGAUGGCAUUGCACUGGAGGCUGUUUUUGUACAUCCUUCUGUUGUCGAUAUGCUAGAUGCUGCUGUGGGUGACGCAAUCGAGAACGGACAAUGGAUUGAUUCUCUUUCGAUCCUUCCAUCAUAUAUCAGUGGCCCUGAUGCAACCAAGAUAUUGUCUCUUUGUCCAUCUUUUCAGAAGGCAGCCAAGUCUUCAAAAGCAGUGCUUUUUGGAGAAUCAUGUGUCUUCAGCAAUGUGUUCAUUAAGGGUAUUUUUGAUCAACUUGAGAAAGAGAUUGACUCCUUUGGUAUCAAACAUAGUGCUGGUGGUCAAGGAACUCCCGUGAAUAUGAAUUCAAGUAGUGAGCAUAGGGCAGGAUCUGUCCAGCACUCGGACACAAAAGACUUUGGUGAUAAUGACGCCAGCGGUACAGGUGCUUCAUCGGACAGAGGACCAAAGAAGAAACGAGGAAAAGCGACGGGGUCUGCCAAAGGCGGAGCAGUUGAGAAGGAUGAUGAUGAAGAAAUCAUCCCUGUAAAGGGCAAGAAAGCUCAUAGGAAAAACAAGGACGCUGGUUCUUCAGGUGAUGCAAAGCGCGGUGGUAAAAAGGCACCAGAGAAACCAAAAGAGGAGAACACAAAUAUCUUCCCCGAUGAGUUGAUAGAGCAAAAGGUUUUGGCUGUUGCUCCGGAGUUAGAAGAGUUGGGAGGCUCAGACGACUUAAAUGGCCCUAUUAAAUUAUUGUCCUCUCACCUGAGGCCAAUGCUUAUUGAUGCAUGGAAGAAGAAAAGGAACACCAUGCUGUCAGAAAAUGCUGAAAGGAGGCGAAGUGUACUUGAUAAUCUGCAAAAGCAGCUAGAUGAGGCUGUCCUCGAUAUGCAACUCUAUGAAAAAGCUCUAGAUGUGUUUGAGGAUGAUCCUGCUACCUCUGGCAUAUUACACAAGCAUCUGCUAAGAACUAUGGGUACUCCAAUAGUCGACAAGAUUUUAUCUAGUCUGGAUAGGGACAACAAAUUGAAGAAUGGAAUGGAGUAUGAAGACAGUGAAGAACAGCAUGCUCAGCUGAGCACUACUGACCGCACUUUUCUGGCAAAGGAUCUUCCAGGGCAAUUGUCAUCGAAGGCUCAAGCUUUAGUUGAAGCACUGGAGGGAAAGCGGUUUGACUCAUUUAUGGACGCCUUAAGAGAUACAGCAGAGGAAAGUGGCUUGUUAUUUAAGAAGCUUGAUAAAAGACUUGAGCGAUCAAUGCUGCAUUCCUACCGCAAGGAUUUGAUAGCACAAGUUUCUUCAGAGACUGAUCCAGUUUCCUUCCUCCCAAAAGUCGUUGCUCUACUUUUUCUCCAGGCACACAACAAGGGUCUUCAGGCACCUGGAAGGGCUGUUGGUGCUGUCAUCACACUACUGAAGGACAAGCUACCAGCUUCAACCUUCAAGGUUUUAACUGAAUAUCACGCCACUACCGUGAAAGUUCUUGCACUACAAGCUGCUGCCACGGGUGAUGAUGAUGAUUGUGCAUCGGACCGGAUGCUGGAGAAGAAGGAAGACCUAGAAGAGAGGCUGAUGCCAGAACUGAAAUCCCUGGCCCUCGGCACGACCAAAGAGUGA
This 2460-nucleotide ribosomal RNA is filed under the name Triticum aestivum (bread wheat). RNAcentral describes it as "partial small subunit ribosomal RNA". The record is from RNAcentral. Lineage: Eukaryota; Viridiplantae; Streptophyta; Magnoliopsida; Poales; Poaceae.